This 468-nucleotide ribosomal RNA is filed under the name uncultured bacterium. Its description in RNAcentral is "partial 16S ribosomal RNA". It matches the Rfam family "Bacterial small subunit ribosomal RNA", at positions 28 to 507 of the family's 1533-position model. The record is from RNAcentral.
GACGAACGCUGGCGGCGUGCUUAACACAUGCAAGUCGAACGGAAAGGCCCUGCUUUUGUGGGGUGCUCGAGUGGCGAACGGGUGAGUAACACGUGAGUAACCUGCCCUUGGCUUUGGGAUAACUUCAGGAAACUGGGGCUAAUACCGGAUAGGAGCUCCUGCUGCAUGGUGGGGGUUGGAAAGUUUCGGCGGUUGGGGAUGGACUCGCGGCUUAUCAGCUUGUUGGUGGGGUAGUGGCUUACCAAGGCUUUGACGGGUAGCCGGCCUGAGAGGGUGACCGGCCACAUUGGGACUGAGAGACGGCCCAGACUCCUACGGGAGGCAACAGUGGGGAGUAUUGCACAAUGGGCGGAAGCCUGAUGCAGCAACGUCGCGUGCGGGAUGACGGCCUUCGGGUUGUAAACCGCUUUCGCCUGUGACGAAGCGUGAGUGACGGUAAUGGGUAAAAAAGCACCGGCUAACUACGUG